CUUCCGUAGGGGUGACCUGUGGAAGGAUCAUUACCUAGAGUUUGUGGGCUUUGCCCACUGUCUCUUACCCAUGUCUUUUGAGUACUUACGUUUCCUCGGUGGGCUCGCCCGCCGGUUGGACAAUUUAAACCAUUUGCAGUUGCAAUCAGCGUCUGAAAAACAUAAUAGUUACAACUUUCAACAACGGAUCUCUUGGUUCUGGCAUCGAUGAAGAACGCAGCGAAAUGCGAUAAGUAGUGUGAAUUGCAGAAUUCAGUGAAUCAUCGAAUCUUUGAACGCACAUUGCGCCCCUUGGUAUUCCAUGGGGCAUGCCUGUUCGAGCGUCAUUUGUACCUUCAAGCUCUGCUUGGUGUUGGGUGUUUGUCUCGCCUUGCGCGUAGACUCGCCUUAAAACAAUUGGCAGCCGGCGUAUUGAUUUCGGAGCGCAGUACAUCUCGCGCUUUGCACUCAUAACGACGACGUCCAAAAGUACUUUUUACACUCUUGACCUCGGAUCAGGUAGGGAUACCCGCUGAACUUAAAAAUAUCAAUAAGCCGGAGGA
This 542-nucleotide ribosomal RNA is filed under the name Podospora sp. Sigrf01. RNAcentral's name for it is "eukaryotic LSU rRNA". The stretch from base 173 to 326 matches the Rfam family "5.8S ribosomal RNA". Lineage: Eukaryota; Fungi; Ascomycota; Sordariomycetes; Sordariales; Podosporaceae. The record is from RNAcentral.